GCAGUGGUGGUUUAAUGGUGGGAUUCUUGCCUUCCAUGCACAAGACCCGGGUUCGAUUCCCAGCCAAUGCA
This 71-nucleotide transfer RNA is filed under the name Loxodonta africana (African savanna elephant). It matches the Rfam family "tRNA". From Rfam's summary of the family: Transfer RNA (tRNA) molecules are approximately 80 nucleotides in length. Their secondary structure includes four short double-helical elements and three loops (D, anti-codon, and T loops). The record is from Rfam by way of RNAcentral. Lineage: Eukaryota; Metazoa; Chordata; Mammalia; Proboscidea; Elephantidae.